RNAcentral lists this long non-coding RNA (247 nucleotides) under Elaeis guineensis (African oil palm). RNAcentral's name for it is "long non-coding RNA (EGUI_LNC081112)". Lineage: Eukaryota; Viridiplantae; Streptophyta; Magnoliopsida; Arecales; Arecaceae. The record is from RNAcentral.
CUGGACAUCGGGUACUAUUGCUAGAUGGUCAUUUCGAUUAGUACAGGAAUUGGUUCCUGUGCUACCCGCUUAGGAUCGAACCUGCGAAGUCACAUACAUUAGAAGUUCCUAUCUGAUCUAAUGGCUGGUGAAGAGUCCUAAGUAUCUGAGAUUCUAUGAUCGAGAAUCAGGAUUCUCUGAUCAUGAGUUCCACAUAUUUUGGGUAUCGGGGUCAAAAGUCCCACUAGUUUGGGACUUUUCGAUCAGG